Molecule: long non-coding RNA, 1260 nt
Organism: Numida meleagris (helmeted guineafowl)
Lineage: Eukaryota; Metazoa; Chordata; Aves; Galliformes; Numididae
Source: Ensembl
UGCAUUAACAGAGCACUUCUCUGUCACAGGGGCAGUAAGAGAAUGCCUGGAUCUGCUCCGGAGCCUGUGGGAUUGGUGCAUGCAAACUGCCACUGAGGAGAAGAAGAGUUUGGCAACGAUCAUCCUUAAUCACUCUUUCCAAAAGCUGCUUUACCACUCUCUGAGCGAAGUGAGGCACUGUGUUGCACCCCUGCUCUUCAGUGAGGAUGGCAUCUACACAUCCAUUGCUGAGCUGGGACACAAAGUGAUCCCGGCCAAUCCCAGCCACGUGGAAGCAGCUCUCCAAGAAUGCCUGCAGGCCGCCUUCCCUGAGCUAACCCUUAAGGGACGGAUGAAGACAAAUGAUAGUUGCAUAUUUGUGCAAGGAGUCACACUCGCAGGCAAUGCAAAGGUCUGCAUAGCCAAACAGCAGAGCCUGAAUGACAUCUUGCAGACGAAUACCACUGAGAGUGGCUGUGAAAGGUUUCAGGAGGUGAUCAAAAUAGUGGCUCUGUGUCAAGACAGGGAGUCCAUUGCCAAGCUGCAAAAGUCCAGCACCUGUGGAGUGCCUCCAUUGUAUGUAAUUGAAGAUGGGAAUUCACUCUUGACUUUCCUGCAGGAGAAAAGGAACAAGCUCACCCUAUCUGCUAUGAUAGGCAUUUUGAAAGACAUUGCAAGAGCUGUCUGGUCGUGUCACCAGAAAAAAGUUUUGCUUUGUAGCAUCACUCCAGCCAGCUUCAUCGUGGUCAGAGGUGAGCAGCAAGGAACAGGAGCACCUCAAGUCCGGGUCAAGCUGUCUGAUUUCCUCCAGGCCAGGCUGACUCCCCCCGAGGAUGAGAAAGACUAUUCAUCUAGUGACUACCUCUAUGAAACCAUCAAAUCUGUACAGCUCAGAGGAGACAGUGAGGAUCCACUGCCCAUAUACUUCAGUGCUCCCGAGUCCCUGCAGCAUCACCUCUUCUCGGUUUUCUCUGAUGCAUGGGCUACUGCUGCCACAUUUUAUUCUGUUCUCCUCUACGGUGGACAAACAUACUUUGAGCUCAGGCACUUGCCUGUGGCCAGAUUCAUAGGAGAGGUCUGUAGUGGGCACAGAGCACAAAGACCAGACUCAGUUCCUCUGAAACUGUGGGACAUAAUAGCCCCCAAUCUGGAGUACGAUGAGCCAAACCGUACAACUAUGGAGUCGCUGGUAGAGUGCAUGGAAAACUGUGGGAGUACCUUGGGUAUGGAAAACACUGUAACUGGCGAGUCUUUUGGUCAACAUCACUGUCCUUUCCUUUA